RNAcentral lists this ribosomal RNA (236 nucleotides) under Funneliformis mosseae. RNAcentral's name for it is "partial small subunit ribosomal RNA". It matches the Rfam family "Eukaryotic small subunit ribosomal RNA", at positions 547 to 784 of the family's 1831-position model. Lineage: Eukaryota; Fungi; Glomeromycota; Glomeromycetes; Glomerales; Glomeraceae. The record is from RNAcentral.
UUUGGAGGGCAAGUCUGGUGCCAGCAGCCGCGGUAAUUCCAGCUCCAAUAGCGUAUAUUAAAGUUGUUGCAGUUAAAAAGCUCGUAGUUGAAUUUCGGGAUCAAUAUUUCGGUCAUGCCGUUGGUAUGCACUGUUAUCAUUGAUUUCUCACCUUCUAAAGAACCGUAAUGCCAUUAAUUUGGUGUUACGGGGAAUUAGGACUGUUACCUUGAAAAAAUUAGAGUGUUUAAAGCAGG